UACGUAGGGGGCGAGCGUUGUCCGGAUUUAUUGGGCGUAAAGGGCGCGGAGGCGGCCUUACACGUCUGCGCUGAAAGCCCACGGCUUAACCGUGGGGGGCGCGCGGAAACGCUAAGACUUGAGGCGAGAAGAGGCUGGUGGAAUUCUAGGUGGAGCGGUGGAAUGCGUAGAUAUACGGAGGAAUGCCAGUGGGGAAGGCGGCCUCCUGGUCUGGGAUUGACGCUGCGGCACGACAGCGUGGGGAGCAAACAGG
RNAcentral lists this ribosomal RNA (253 nucleotides) under uncultured bacterium. RNAcentral's name for it is "partial 16S ribosomal RNA". It matches the Rfam family "Bacterial small subunit ribosomal RNA", at positions 524 to 776 of the family's 1533-position model. The record is from RNAcentral.